Long non-coding RNA from Girardinichthys multiradiatus, 2196 nucleotides. RefSeq lists it as uncharacterized. The transcript has 2 exons. The record is from RefSeq and is a predicted model, not a curated record. Lineage: Eukaryota; Metazoa; Chordata; Actinopteri; Cyprinodontiformes; Goodeidae.
CCCAAAGAAGCGUACCACCCAGACUGUUGCAUGUCCAGAGUGAAGCAUGGGGGUGGAUCAGUGAUGGUUUGGGACUUUAUGGCUGAUGUCUUGAGAUGCUGCUUCAAUAUUUUCACAUUUAAUGUUCUUUCCUUAUGAUACCAUCUAUUGCAUUAAGUGCACCAGUGCAUUUGUAUGGCAAAACACUGUACAUAAUGACACUCUCUUACCAGCUUCAGUCAGCAUCUUCACAACAUCGUUUGCUCAGUUUUACUUUUAUGAAAUGUUUUAUUCUUGUUUUAUCAAAUCUGCUCUUACUUGUUUCUUUUUAUCUGAUGGUAUGAGUCACUUAAUGUCAAACAAAAAAAAAAUAAUUUCAGAAUAUUGUAAAGAUUUGUGGUAAGAUUGCCAUGACUUCCUUUCAGAACUUUAGUGGAACUGUAUCAGGUCAGCUUACAUAAAAAAAAAAAGCCCCAUCAUAUCCUGGUUGAUUCAAAUUAUCCAUUAUGGACUGACUUUAUUUAGCUCCCAUCAGGGUGCAGCUAUACCCUGUAGUGAUGCAAAACUCUUUUUGUACUCGAUUUUUCAAUGAUGUCACGCAAGGAAGCUGUAUGUUUAAGGUCUAGGGGUGUGCCUCUAUUUCAAUUCAGUUUAUUUAUAUAGCACCAAUUCACAACUCGUCAUCUCAAUUUGACUCGAAUGUUGUGAAUCAGUCAAUAAGAAGCUUACAAAGCCAUAUCAUCUGGGUUUUCCUAUCUUAAAUAACAAAAAGUAAACAUUUUGUUUCAUUUCAUGUCACACAUUGAAGGGGAAAAAAGUUAUGUGCAGUUUAUUUAUUUUACGUUGACUUUAUUUAAAAGGGGAUAAUGUUCAAUUUAAACAUAAAUUUCCCCAUUUGAUGUGCUGCACCAGAUUAUAUAGUUUUUAGCUAAUUCACACCUGCAGUCACUUGACAGAUGAAGAUAAGAAGAGGAAGUUUCAGAACUGUUAAACAUCGAGUUAAGAGUAGUGAAUAAAUAUAUUAUAAUAAUCCAGCAAAGUUAUCACAUAAGCAUGUAUUAUCCUACGCAACUAAGACCCACAACACCAAAUGCCCUAAUUAACAAAUGUUUCAACUGUAUGUACAUAAUUUUUAUUUUUUUAUUUUUUUUCAGUGCUUGUCUUGAUUAUUCUGGGGAUUCACUGGAGUCUUGUACUUCCUGCUCCAAUUAAUUGCAGAUCUGCUUUCAAUCGAAUUCCAGAUCUUACAGGUUUACUGGUACAUGAGACAAAUACGUUAUUGGACGUAUAUGAAAAGAGUAUCAAGCCCCCAAAUCCUCAGGUUCCAGAUGAGGUUCCCAGUGCUGCGGUAACUGGUUUCAACAUUACCGAGAAGCUGCGAGACAUCUACACUAAGGAUGAGCUUUUUCAGUUGCAUCUCUCCCAAGUAGAAAUAUAUGUAAAAGAGCUUUUACCUGAUCCGCAACCUGUUUUGGAUCACUUGUCUGGCCCAAAGGCAAGACUUGUCCAUAUUUUUGAUAUAGUAAAAUAUCUUAUCAAACACAUGGACCCAUUAACGCCUUUGCCGACAUCAACUGCUCCACUACAGCUGUCCCAUAACUAUACCUAUGCACAGAAAGUCUAUGUAUGGAAUGUUAUAGUCAGGCUGAGGGACUGGGGACAAGAAGUACAGCUAAUGAAGGAGGAAAAGUUAAUGUGUGGUAAGAAGCUAAUGAGGACAAAGUAUGCAAUUUCUUGAUUUUUAAAUGUUUUGUUUUUUUCAAAUGUCUGUAAUGAUCAAGAUUCUUUAACUGAUAUUAGAGUAAGCCAACAUAACUUUAUUCCUUGAAAAAUAUCAGAAUCAGAAAAGCUUUAUUGCCAGGUACGAUUUUGGACAUACAAGGAAUUUGUUUUGGCGUAGUCGGUGCAAUACAGUACUUAACAAAAAAAACAAUGCGCACCAACACGCCAAGGCGACCAUCUGCGGCGCCAUCUAUUAGCUUCAUCUCAUUCAUAUUGUUGUUAAAAUGUGUCUUCUGACCAAAUGUAAUGUUGAUGUUGGAAAUGACAGCCAUCAUUUGCAGAUUAUCUUUUAUUGAGUUUAAAACUUUUCAGAUUUGAAUGCUUUUUAUUAUUUGUUAGCUAAAACUGUAAAUGCACUGGAAUUGUUUGCAGUUGUUUGAUGAAACCUGAAUUAUUUAAAUAUUUAUAAAAUAUGUAUUUAUUUAACAGUGGAAA